This 533-nucleotide long non-coding RNA is filed under the name Homo sapiens (human). RNAcentral's name for it is "HSALNT0322138". The record is from RNAcentral. Lineage: Eukaryota; Metazoa; Chordata; Mammalia; Primates; Hominidae.
CUGCAUAGGGUGUGACUAUCAGGAACCAUGGCUCACUGGAGCACCAUCUUUGGAGUCUAGCUAACACAGCAUCUUGGAUGCACUCCUAAGAGAAGACUACCUGAAAGGCGUGUACACUGGUCUAGCAGUUGAGAUCAGCUAGUGUUCCAUCUAUCUUCUGUCAUGUCAGGGAAGACUCUCUGAUCCUCUCAUAAUUUACCUAUUGUUGAUUUCCUGAAUCUUUUUAAAUCCUUUGCAACUGAAGAUGGUCUCUCCAUCAGAGAAGCAAUUAACCAAAUGCCUGACUACAGCGUAUAUAGCAUCUGUUAUAAAAGCAUAAAAGGUUAACUUAAAUCCUGGCACACAAAGGAGAUGUCAGACCAGAACAAAUCAGCAUGGAAAUACCUGGAGGAGAUACAAGGUUAAGGUGGAGCAUAUGUACAGUCAAGAGGAUGUUCAUGACUAGUGGAAUGUGUUUUUCAGAUUGCAAAGACUGGAAGGAUGCUGGGCCAUGAAUAGGAAUUCUGUGAUUCAAGGAUAUUAUAACUUUUCAA